This is a regulatory RNA element of Coprococcus sp. CAG:782, 81 nucleotides long. It matches the Rfam family "S10-Clostridia ribosomal protein leader". The record is from Rfam. NCBI's taxonomy places the organism in Bacteria, Bacillati, Bacillota, Clostridia, Lachnospirales, Lachnospiraceae.
UGAUAGCGUAGAAGCGGAGGUUGCUGUAUAUAAUACAGGUUAUUUCGUGGAGCGAAUGUCAAUUUACAAAACUGACGACAA